This 187-nucleotide ribosomal RNA is filed under the name uncultured Carnobacteriaceae bacterium. RNAcentral's name for it is "partial 16S ribosomal RNA". It matches the Rfam family "Bacterial small subunit ribosomal RNA", at positions 153 to 334 of the family's 1533-position model. The record is from RNAcentral. Lineage: Bacteria; Bacillati; Bacillota; Bacilli; Lactobacillales; Carnobacteriaceae.
GGAACGGAUGCUAAUACCCCAUAGGUGGAUUGGUCGCAUGACGAAUUCAUUAAAGGUGGCUUUGCUACCACUCAUGGAUAGCCUCGCGGCGUAUUAGCUAGUUGGUAAGGUAAUGGCCUACCAAGGCGGCGACGGGUAGCCGGACUGAGAGGUUGGUCGGCCACAUUGGGACUGAGAUACGGCCCAG